This 336-nucleotide unclassified non-coding RNA is filed under the name soil metagenome. Its description in RNAcentral is "partial contains 5.8S ribosomal RNA, internal transcribed spacer 2, and large subunit ribosomal RNA". The stretch from base 1 to 120 matches the Rfam family "5.8S ribosomal RNA", at positions 35 to 154 of the family's 154-position model. The record is from RNAcentral.
GAUGAAGAACGUAGCGAAAUGCGAUAAGUAAUGUGAAUUGCAGAAUUCAGUGAAUCAUCGAAUCUUUGAACGCACAUUGCGCCCGCCAGUAUUCUGGCGGGCAUGCCUGUUCGAGCGUCAUUUCAACCAUCAAGCCCCCGGCUUGUGUUGGGGACCUGCGGCUGCCGCAGGCCCUGAAAAGCAGUGGCGGGCUCGCUGUCACACCGAGCGUAGUAGCAUACAUCUCGCUCUGGGCGUGCUGCGGGUUCCGGCCGUUAAACCACCUUCAUAACCCAAGGUUGACCUCGGAUCAGGUUGGAAGACCCGCUGAACUUAAGCAUAUCAAUAAGCGGAGGA